Molecule: ribosomal RNA, 692 nt
Filed under: uncultured Chloroflexota bacterium
Lineage: Bacteria; Bacillati; Chloroflexota
Description: bacterial SSU rRNA
Rfam family: Bacterial small subunit ribosomal RNA
Source: RNAcentral
UUUCGAGUGCUCGGAAAGUGGCGGACGGGUGAGUAACACGUAGGUGACCUGCCCUGAAGCGGGGGAUAACCGUGGGAAACUGCGGCUAAUACCGCAUACGCUGGUGGAGAUGGGAAUCUUCACGAGGAAAAUUCAGGUGCUUUGGGAGGGGCCUGCGGUCGAUUAGCUAGUUGGUGGGGUAACGGCCUACCAAGGCGAUGAUCGAUAGCUGUUCUGAGAGGAAGACCAGCCACACGGGAACUGAGACACGGUCCCGACUCCUACGGGGGGCAGCAGUGAGGAAUAUUGCACAAUGGGGGCAACCCUGAUGCAGCAACGCCGCGUGAAGGAUGAAGGUCUUCGGAUUGUAAACUUCUUUUCUGUGGGAAGAAGUCUGUCUUUGGACAGAUUGACGGUACCAGAGGAAUAAGACACGGCUAACUACGUGCCAGCAGCCGCGGUAAUACGUAGGUGUCAAGCGUUAUCCGGAAUUACUGGGCGUAAAGGGCACGCAGGCGGCUUAGGAAGUCCGACGUGAAAGCUCCCGGCUUAACUGGGAGAGGUCGUUGGAAACUCUUGGGCUUGAGAGGGUGAGAGGGAGGCGGAAUUCCCGGUGUAGUGGUGGAAUGCGUAGAUAUCGGGAAGAACACCAGUGGCGAAAGCGGCCUCCUGGCACUCGACUGACGCUGAGGUGCGAAAGCGUGGGGAGCGAA